CCGCAUAAGCCCACAGGUCGGCAUCGACCAGAGGGAAAAGGAGCAAUCCGCUUUGAGAUGGCCUCGCGUCCGAUUAGCUAGUUGGUGAGGUAAUGGCCCACCAAGGCGACGAUCGGUAGCCGGACUGAGAGGUUGAACGGCCACAUUGGGACUGAGACACGGCCCAGACUCCUACGGGAGGCAGCAGUGGGGAAUAUUGCACAAUGGGGGAAACCCUGAUGCAGCGACGCCGCGUGGAGGAAGAAGGUCUUCGGAUUGUAAACUCCUGUUGUUGAGGAAGAUAAUGACGGUACUCAACAAGGAAGUGACGGCUAACUACGUGCCAGCAGCCGCGGUAAAACGUAGGUCACAAGCGUCGUCCGGAAUUACUGGGUGUAAAGGGAGCGCAGGCGGGAAGACAAGUUGGAAGUGAAAUCUAUGGGCUCAACCCAUAAACUGCUUUCAAAACUGUUUUUCUUGAGUAGUGCAGAGGUAGGCGGAAUUCCCGGUGUAGCGGUGGAAUGCGUAGAUAUCGGGAGGAACACCAGUGGCGAAGGCGGCCUACUGGGCACCAACUGACGCUGAGGCUCGAAAGUGUGGGUAGCAAACAGGAUUAGAUACCCUGGUAGUCCACACCGU
This 618-nucleotide ribosomal RNA is filed under the name uncultured bacterium. RNAcentral's name for it is "bacterial SSU rRNA". It matches the Rfam family "Bacterial small subunit ribosomal RNA", at positions 169 to 803 of the family's 1533-position model. The record is from RNAcentral.